GGCUUCGGCUCGGGGAUCAGUGGCGAACGGGUGCGUAACACGUGGGCAACCUGCCCCCGACACUGGGAUAACUCCGGGAAACCGGAGCUAAUACCGGAUACUCUCGACCGAUCUCAUGACCGGUCGAGGAAAGGUCCGCCGGUUGGGGAUGGGCCCGCGGCCUAUCAGCUUGUUGGUGAGGUAACGGCUCACCAAGGCGACGACGGGUAGCUGGUCUGAGAGGACGACCAGCCACACUGGGACUGAGACACGGCCCAGACUCCUACGGGAGGCAGCAGUGGGGAAUCUUGCGCAAUGAGCGAAAGCUUGACGCAGCGACGCCGCGUGGGGGAUGAAGGCCCUCGGGUUGUAAACCCCUUUCGGCAGGGACGAAGCGAACGUGACGGUACCUGCAGAAGAAGCCUCGGCUAACUACGUGCCAGCAGCCGCGGUAAGACGUAGGAGGCGAGCGUUGUCCGGAUUCAUUGGGCGUAAAGAGCGCGCAGGCGGCUUGGUAAGUCGGAUGUGAAAACACGAGGCUCAACCUCGUGCCUGCAUCCGAUACUGCCCGGCUAGAGGUAGGUAGGGGAGAUCGGAAUUCCUGGUGUAGCGGUGAAAUGCGCAGAUAUCAGGAGGAACACCGGUGGCGAAGGCGGAUCUCUGGGCCUUACCUGACGCUCAGGCGCGAAAGCUAGGGGAGCGAACAGGAUUAGAUACCCUGGUAGUCCUAGCCGUAAACGUUGGGUGCUAGGUGUGGGCGGAUAUCGACCCCGUCCGUGCCGAAGCUAACGCAUUAAGCACCCCGCCUGGGGAGUACGGCCGCAAGGCUAAAACUCAAAGGAAUUGACGGGUCCCCGCACAAGCGGCGGAGCAUGCGGCUUAAUUCGAUGCGACGCGAAGAACCUUACCUGGGCUUGACAUGCAGGUUGAAA
RNAcentral lists this ribosomal RNA (911 nucleotides) under uncultured bacterium. RNAcentral's name for it is "bacterial SSU rRNA". It matches the Rfam family "Bacterial small subunit ribosomal RNA", at positions 76 to 998 of the family's 1533-position model. The record is from RNAcentral.